Long non-coding RNA from Syngnathoides biaculeatus (alligator pipefish), 1087 nucleotides. RefSeq lists it as uncharacterized. The record is from RefSeq and is a predicted model, not a curated record. Lineage: Eukaryota; Metazoa; Chordata; Actinopteri; Syngnathiformes; Syngnathidae. The transcript has 3 exons.
GCAAACAACGACAGUACAGGAAAACACGCUAGUCGACGAGCUCCCCCCUACUUUAAGCCCUCACUUAAGAAAUAUUAACAAACAUGAAUAUGAAUGCUGGAGUAAAGAAGACAAAAAUGUAUCACUUUCAUAUGGAAUGUGAGCUGGACUUUUUUUCCACGAUGUCAUUUUCGAAGUGAGUUUGCUUCAUCUGCCGGUGUAGUGAAAAUUGGAGCGGCAUUUUUGAAGUGUUUAUGGAAAAUACAACACUGAAAUUCCGCCAAAAAGCAAACUGCAAAUGAGAAAAGUGAACGAGCUAAAAUCCUAAUUGGCCGCACAGCAGUCACUUUUCACACAAAUAUAGUUCAACAGGGAAAGCCACCACCGAAGCAUCGUUCCAGGUUCGUCACAUCAUCAUUAAUGACAAGAAGUCCUUCCAAGACAGAGAGAUGGAGUACAAUUACACAGCGCUGUGAAGCCAUGGCUGAUGUGUGGAAGGACAUCGGAGAUUGUGUUUCUCACUGCAGUUGGAUGAAUCCACUGACGUGAAUGACACAGCCCAGGCAUUUGGGAAGGAGAUAAGCAAACCCUCAGACGAUUGCAGCGUCCUUCCACUUUGGGUUGUCAGCAGCAAAGUUGCACCACCGAAACCUUUCGGCACAUCUACACACGCACACAUGCAUUCCACUCAAAGGGGACAGUCUUUGUUUGAUCCACUGUGAGGUUUAUCUCCUAAACCCAAAUGUCAACACUUUGUGUUGACACACUAAGUUUCCUCCAACAAUCCAGUGUGGUCCGCAGUGGAAGCCCUGCGAGAGGAGCAAGUAAAAGUAGUUGACCCGGGGGCAGAAUGGAAAGUCCAAAUGAAUAUGGACAAAUAAUACGGAUCGCAGGAAUCGGCAAAAGCACACAAGCAGAGCGUUUUUCAUGCAAAAAGAAAGACGCAAGCAACGUGGCCAUGUUAGGGAGUCCAAAUCAUUUCAAAGCUCGGACAAGUCCAAAGUUUGAGUCUAUUUUUAAGGGGCACUGUCUGUCGUUGCUCUUCCUCUUGUUGUCACUUUUUCAAAAGUGCAUGCAUUUGUCAUUGUUAGAAGCAGCAUCCAAUAUU